RNAcentral lists this ribosomal RNA (483 nucleotides) under uncultured bacterium. RNAcentral describes it as "partial 16S ribosomal RNA". It matches the Rfam family "Bacterial small subunit ribosomal RNA", at positions 30 to 506 of the family's 1533-position model. The record is from RNAcentral.
AUUGAACGCUGGCGGCAGGCCUAACACGUGCAAGUCGAGCGGAUGAAGGGAGCUUGCUCCUGGAUUCAGCGGCGGACGGGUGAGUAAUGCCUAGGAAUCUGCCUGGUAGUGGGGGAUAACGUCCGGAAACGGGCGCUAAUACCGCAUACGUCCUGAGGGAGAAAGUGGGGGAUCUUCGGACCUCACGCUAUCAGAUGAGCCUAGGUCGGAUUAGCUAGUUGGUGGGGUAAAGGCCUACCAAGGCGACGAUCCGUAACUGGUCUGAGAGGAUGAUCAGUCACACUGGAACUGAGACACGGUCCAGACUCCUACGGGAGGCAGCAGUGGGGAAUAUUGGACAGUGGGCGAAAGCCUGAUCCAGCCAUGCCGCGUGUGUGAAGAAGGUCUUCGGAUUGUAAAGCACUUUAAGUUGGGAGGAAGGGCAGUAAGUUAAUACCUUGCUGUUUGGACGUUACCAACAGAAUAAGCACCGGCUAACUUCGU